This 497-nucleotide ribosomal RNA is filed under the name uncultured bacterium. RNAcentral describes it as "partial 16S ribosomal RNA". It matches the Rfam family "Bacterial small subunit ribosomal RNA", at positions 28 to 507 of the family's 1533-position model. The record is from RNAcentral.
GAUGAACGCUGGCGGCGUGCCUAAUACAUGCAAGUCGAGCGAACGGACGAGAAGCUUGCUUCUCUGAUGUUAGCGGCGGACGGGUGAGUAACACGUGGAUAACCUACUUAUAAGACUGGGAUAAUUUCGGGAAACCGGAGCUAAUACCGGAUAAUAUUUUGAACCGCAUGGUUCAAAAGUGAAAGACGGUCUUGCUGUCACUUAUAGAUGGAUCCGCGCUGCAUUAGCUAGUUGGUAAGGUAACGGCUUACCAAGGCAACGAUGCAUAGCCGACCUGAGAGGGUGAUCGGCCACACUGGAACUGAGACACGGUCCAGACUCCUACGGGAGGCAGCAGUAGGGAAUCUUCCGCAAUGGGCGAAAGCCUGACGCAGCAACGCCGCGUGGGUGAUGAAGGUCUUCGGAUCGUAAAGCUCUGUUAUUAGGGAAGAACAUAUGUGGAAGUAACUGUGCACAUCUUGACGGUACCUAAUCAGAAAGCCACGGCUAACUACGUG